This 497-nucleotide ribosomal RNA is filed under the name uncultured bacterium. RNAcentral's name for it is "partial 16S ribosomal RNA". It matches the Rfam family "Bacterial small subunit ribosomal RNA", at positions 28 to 507 of the family's 1533-position model. The record is from RNAcentral.
GAUGAACGCUGGCGGCGUGCCUAAUACAUGCAAGUCGAGCGAACGGACGAGAAGCUUGCUUCUCUGAUGUUAGCGGCGGACGGGUGAGUAACACGUGGAUAACCUACCUAUAAGACUGGGAUAACUUCGGGAAACCGGAGCUAAUACCGGAUGAUAUUUUGAACCGCAUGGUUCAAAAGUGAAAGACGGUCUUGCUGUCACUUAUAGAUGGAUCCGCGCUGCAUUAGCUAGUUGGUAAGGUAACGGCUUACCAAGGCAACGAUGCAUAGCUGACCUGAGAGGGUGAUCGGCCACACUGGAACUGAGACACGGUCCAGACUCCUACGGGAGGCAGCAGUAGGGAAUAUUCCGCAAUGGGCGAAAGCCUGACGGAGCAACGCCGCGUGAGUGAUGAAGGUCUUCGGAUCGUAAAACUCUGUUAUUAGGGAAGAACAUAUGUGUAAGUAAAUGUGCACAUCUUGACGGUACCUAAUCAGAAAGCCACGGCUAACUACGUG